This 372-nucleotide unclassified non-coding RNA is filed under the name soil metagenome. RNAcentral describes it as "partial contains 5.8S ribosomal RNA, internal transcribed spacer 2, and large subunit ribosomal RNA". The stretch from base 1 to 120 matches the Rfam family "5.8S ribosomal RNA", at positions 35 to 154 of the family's 154-position model. The record is from RNAcentral.
GAUGAAGAACGCAGCGAAAUGCGAUAAGUAGUGUGAAUUGCAGACUUUAGUGAAUCAUCGAAUCUUUGAACGCACAUUGCGCCCUUUGGUAUUCCGAAGGGCAUGCCUGUUCGAGCGUCAUUAUCACCCCUCAAGCCCUCGGCUUGGUGUUGGACGGUUUGGUGGAGGCCCCCUCGGGGGUUCCUGCCCCUCCCAAAGACAAUGACGGCGGCCUCGUUGGACCCCCGGUACACUGAGUUCUUCACGGGACACGUAUCGGACACAUGGGUUUACGGGACACGGUCUGCCUCCCCUCAGGGAGAAUCUUUCUAAGGUUGACCUCGGAUCAGGUAGGGAUACCCGCUGAACUUAAGCAUAUCAAUAAGCGGAGGA